This 1145-nucleotide long non-coding RNA is filed under the name Cricetulus griseus (Chinese hamster). RNAcentral's name for it is "lncRNA (ENSCGRG00015038943.1)". Lineage: Eukaryota; Metazoa; Chordata; Mammalia; Rodentia; Cricetidae. The record is from RNAcentral.
GCAGAUCUCUGUGAGUUCGGGGCCAGCCUGGUCUACAGAGCUAGUUCCCGGACGGCCUCCAAAGCCACAGAGAAACCCUGUCUCAAAAAAAAAAAUUGUCCUUGGUGGUGUCUGGGUGUCUCAACAUGUGGGUUUAGAGUUGGGAAUGUUUCCUCUUACCUGAAGCUCCCUAACACCUUAUUUGUUCCUUCACUCAUUCAGGACAUGCUGGUAUACCAAGAUGGGACAGUUGGGACAGGCCUGUGCCCCCACCCAGGGCAGAGGGGUGAGGACACUGGGCAUCCUCAGGCUGGGCUCAGCCUGACUUCACCAAAUGGACCAGCUCUUCGGUUCCCUAGAAACACCCUGUUGUCUCACAGCUUCCUUCUGUAAAACCAGAAACUGUCAUGUCCCUGCCAAGCUGGCCUCCCAAGCUCCCAGGGCAGCAGCACCACUUUGCUAAAGAGUGCUGAGCCAGAGGUGCACCAUUGCCUUGUCCCUGGAACAGCCUGGCAUACACAGUCAAGUCCCAGCAAGUCCAAAGCCAAAUGCUUCAAGCUAGCCCAUCCUCCUGAUAAGAUCGAGGAAACCAUUGUUUCAUUUGGCCUAAGUGGGCACCCCUAGGAACUUCCCAGCCUUGCAGGGAAGCAGCUGGACAGACCGUGUCCCCUGCUGACCCUGCUUCCUGCUGCUUGGAAGAAAGCUCAGCCCAGAGGCAGGAAGUACUUCUUCCCUAAAGGCUGGCCAGCCUUGCCUGUACUGCAGAGGACUUCUUUCACAGCAGCUGCCAGGACACCUCAGCUGGGAGUACUCUCACUUCUGAGCUGCUGCCCAGCCUGGUCUUUGGGGAGGAGGUCUAGGUUCUGGUCCCAUCUACCCAGGAAUGCCUUGACUCUAGAUAUAAGGAAGGUGCUGAGUGAGCGACCUCAUGCCCUCUGAAGGCCUUACCCACACAGCCCAGGCCAAUGGCAGUCUUGCCUUAGGUUGGCCAGACUAGAAGGACUUCUGAGGUCUAGCCACAUUUGGCAAAGUGUGGUUAUUCUUCUCCUGAAUUCCCAUGUAAAUAAAAGUGCUUUUAAUAUGAAAACUAUAAAGCACCCUCGGAAGCACUCAUGUUUCAUGCAGCUCGUUACCCAUCAUUAGACUUCACAGUUACUGAGUCUUGG